UAUAGGUCUUUUUUAAAAAAUUACUUUGAUUACCCAAUCAUUCCUUUCUCAGUAGUUUUUGAUAGCUCUUUUGUUUGUUGUAUAUAAAAUAUUCACAUAGAUUGUAUUUGUUUUCUCUGGGGCUGAAACGGGUGCUCUUUUGAUUGUUGUUGAACUGUAAUACAUUUUAAUAUCUGGCAGAGCCAGCACAUCCCAGAUUUUUCUCAUAGUUUAUCCUAUUUAUUUGUCUUUAGAAUACUAAGGAUUUUUUUUCUAGUUCCCAAAAAACACUGAAAGAAAUAAUUUUUUUUACAUUGUAUUCAAUCUGUAGACUUAUUUAGGGAAACCAACAUAUUUACAAUAUAGCCUUUCUAGAACCAUCCACAAAUGCAUUAUGUUUUUACUUUUACUCAAAUUCUUUUAAUUUGUCCAAAAUAGGAUGUUUUGUUUUUAAAGGUCACUUCCAUGAAAUAAUGAUGUUUAUUAUAACAAUCUAUGUUUUUGCUCAAUUUAGGUGGGAUUUCUUUUUUAAUCUAUAUUUUAUUUGCCCACAGCCAAUGUGCAAAAAAAGUACCAUUUUUGUUAUAUCUACAUCUCUAUCUAUCCAUCUAUCCUUUAUCCUGUAUCUGGUUAACUUACUACAUUUUAAAAAAAUAAUUCUGGAGGUUUUCAGUUAAAACUUUCUGUUUAUUUAAGUAUGUAGUCAUAGUAUCUAUCAAAAUGACCAUGAGAUUUUUCUUGCUUGAUCUUCUAAUGAAUUUUAACAGAUUUCUCCCUGUUGAGGCUUCAUCCUCACCGUCACAGCAUAAACCUCUUUUACUCUAUAUUAUUUCAUUUCUUACAGAUUUUCUUAGUUAGUAAUUUACUUUAAUAAUUUUUAUAUGAACAAAAGUGAUUGGUUUAAUUUAGAGUUUUUCUGGGUUAUGUGGUUCUUUUAAAACUUUUCCUUCUUUAUUAUAAUUUAAGGAAUCUACACAGUCAGUAAAGCUGCAAAAAGCAGAGAAACUCCUAGAACUGAAAAAUCAUCACCGGCUUGCCAUUUUUGCUUCAAGGCUUAUUUUGUCUUUCUUAAAAGAUAUGUAACUUUUGAGGCCAAAAAAAGUCUCCUUUAAUUCCACUUGUUGGUCUAUACCCAGAAGAAUUGAAAGCAGGGACUCAAAGAGAUAUUUGAGCAGCAUUAUUUGCGGUAUUGAAAAGGUAGAAGUGACUCAUGUGACAACUGGAAGAUGAAUGGCUGAGCAAAUGUGGUAUAACCAUACAACGGAAUAUCAUUCAGCCCUAAGAAUGAAGGGAAUUCGAACACAUUUGACAACAUGGAUGCAACAUGAAGACAUUUGGUUAGGUGCAAUAAACCAGAAACAAAAAGACAAAGCCUGU
This 1356-nucleotide long non-coding RNA is filed under the name Marmota monax (woodchuck). The record is from RNAcentral. Lineage: Eukaryota; Metazoa; Chordata; Mammalia; Rodentia; Sciuridae.